Long non-coding RNA from Dromaius novaehollandiae (emu), 978 nucleotides. RefSeq lists it as uncharacterized. Lineage: Eukaryota; Metazoa; Chordata; Aves; Casuariiformes; Dromaiidae. The transcript has 3 exons. The record is from RefSeq and is a predicted model, not a curated record.
GAAAGCCCUCUCCGGGGAGUGAAGCUCCGUGUGCGCCCACCGCCCCGCCCCACCCCGCCGGGGGAGCCGUGGCGCAACCCUAGCUCCAAAAGAAGCUUCCAAAGCCAGGGAAAGACACAGCCUUCCUACCAGGCUACCUUCCUGCCUAGCAUUUUAGCAUUUGCAACCCAGGAGCAUGGUUUCCCUUCGAUGCAUUCUUAAACCCACAUCUAAAGCCGAUAAAUUUCAAUAGGUGUGCACUUUAUUAGAGAAAAGGGCUUGAACCAACUUUACAUGAUCACUUUAGACCACAUAUCUCUACUCUGUGUUUUUUGCUCUUGUCACAACAGGAUGCCCCCAGCAGACAAUACCAACUCUGAUAUCCCAAUUUAAACUAGAAAAAUGAAGAUGGAGGAAUACCAUCUAACAGAGGAAAGAAUCAAGAUCUGCAGAGCCACUUAGCUGUACUUGUGCAAUUUUAUCUUCAUUGUUGAUGCAAGCACUGUCAUAAAUAGAUUUUGUUUGCAUUGAUGUUUUUGUGCUUCAUAUGAAUAUCUAUCUAUGUAUGCAAGGCAGGUUGUCUGUGGGCAAACUUAAUCCUUCCUUAGCACCCAGGUGAAAAUGGUUCAUUUUCAUCCUGUGCACGCUGAAGUCAGAGCAAAAAGCUCCUACCAAUUCAGAAGUUCCAGAUCAGGCCACUAACCCAGGCUGAGAGGAAGAGGGACAAGGAUAGGUAGACUGAAGAUUACAUAAUUAGGACAAAUAGUAAUUGUCAUGUGAUUUAGGUGACCGGUUGCUGACUACAAGUUGUCAAGUGGCAAUUUGAAGCUUUCACAUUUCAUUACAAGCUGUGAGGCCAGUCCUGGUCUAGAACCCAUUACAGUUAUUUCUGUCUUACACAGAUGCAAAUUUAACUGGAUGGGCUACUUAAAAGCUAGUUGACAUAUUUACAAAUUUAAAUAAAAAGAUUUGCAAAGAUGUUCAGUAAUCUCAUCCAAA